Long non-coding RNA from Homo sapiens (human), 3601 nucleotides. RefSeq lists it as uncharacterized. Lineage: Eukaryota; Metazoa; Chordata; Mammalia; Primates; Hominidae. The record is from RefSeq and is a predicted model, not a curated record. The transcript is spliced from 2 exons.
AGAGUGCUCUCCCUGGUUAUUCCAGAAACACCAGUCGCUGAGGAUCUCUCACCUGCAGUUCCCUGCUGGAUCUUCAUUCUGACUGGUUGUACAGGCAUGGCAACAGCCUCUGUUCCACUUCUGGGGAGGCCUCAGGGACCUUUUAUUCAUGGCAGAAGACAAAGUGGGAGCAGGUAUGUCACUUGGUGAGAAUUAGAGCAAAAAAGUAAGGGGAGAGAUGUCACACACUCUUAAAUAAUCAGAUCUCAUGUGAACUCAGAGAGAGAACUCACUCACUGUCAGGAGGACAGCACUAAGCCAUUCAUGAGGGAUCCAAUCCCAUGACUCAAACACCUCAUACCAGGUCUCCCCUCUAACGUUGCAGAUUACAGUUAAAUAUGAGAUUUGGAGGGAACAAACAUCCAAAUGACAUUAUUUCACCCCUGGCUCCCCAAGACACAUGUCCUUCUCACAUUGCAAAAUAUAAUCAUCCAUUUUCAAUAGUUUCCCAAAGUUCUAACUAGUUCUAGCAUCAACACAAUUGAAAGUUCAAAGUCCCAAGCCUCAUCUGAGGAUGAAUUCCUUUCACCUAUGAGCCUGUUAUUUACUUCUAAGAUAUAAUGGGAAUAUAGACACUGGGUAUAUAUUCCCAUCUUAAAAGGGAGACAUUGGUCCAAAGAAAGAGGCAACAGACCACACACAAGCCUGAAAUCCAACAGAGUGAUCAUUAAAUCUUAAAGCUCCCAAAUAAUCACCUUUGACUUUAUAACGUGCAUUCAGGACACACUGGUACAAGGGGUGAGCACCCAAGGACUCUAGGCACAAUCUGCAAACUGCUGGUGGGUCUACUAUUCUGGUGUCUGGAGGGAGGCAGGCCCAUUUUCACAGCUUCACUAGGCAGUGGCCCAGUGGGGUCAAUUUGUGGGGGCUCCAACACUGCAUUUCCCCUUGGUAUUGCCCUAGUAGAGCUUCUCUCUGGAGAUACAUUUCUGUGGCAAGCUUCUACCUGGGCAUCCAAGCAUUCUCAUAACAUUGUUUGAAAUCUAGGGGGAAGCUGCUAAGCUUCCUUUAUGCUUUCAUUCGGUACACCUGCAGGUUUAAGACCAUGUGGAAACCACCAAGUCUUGUGGCUUACACCUUCCAGAAGGGCAGCCCAAGCUAUAUAUGGGUCCCUUUGAGCUAAGGCUGGAGCUAGAGAAGCCUAGAUAUGGGGAGCAGUGUCUUGAGGCUGUUCAGGGCAGCAGGACCUUGGGCCUGGUUCCUGAAACCAUUCUUUCCUCCUAGGUCUCUGGGCCUAUGAUGGGAGGGGGCUGCCUCAAAGAUCUCUGAAGUGCCUUUAAGGCCUUUUCCCCCUUGUCUUAGAUAUUAGCAUUUGGCUCCCUUUUAGUCAUGCAAAUCUCUCUAGCAAUUGGUUGCUCUGCAGCAUGCUUGAAUUCUUCCCUUGAAAAUUAGCUUUUCUUUUCUACUGCACGGCUAGGCUGCAGAUAUUCUAAACUUUCAGCUGUGCUUCCCUUUUAAAUAUAAGUUCCAACUUUAAGUAAUUUCUUUGCUCUUGCAUUGAAUCAUAGGCUGUUAGAAGCAACCAGGCCACAUCUAAGCUUUGCUGCUUAGAAGUUUCUUCCGCCAGGUACCCUAAGUCAUCACUCUUAACUUCAAACUUCCACAGAUCCCUAGAACAUGGACACAAUUCAGUUAAGUUCUUUGUUAGGGUAUAACAAGAGUGACCUUUGCUCUAGUUCCCUAUAAAGUUUACACUUCCAUCUGAAACCUCAUCAGCCUGGCUUUCACUAUCCACAUCUCUAUCAGCAUUUUGGUCAUAACCAUUUAACCAGUCUCUAAGAAAUUCUAAACUUUCCAUCAUCUUCCUGUCUUCUUCUGAGCCCUCCAAACUCUUCCAACCUCUGCCCAUUAUCCAGUUCCAAAGCUGUUUUCUCAUUUUCGAGUACCUUUAUAGCAAUGUCCCACUCUUCACUACCAAUUUUCUUUAAUUAUUAUAAAGAAAUACCUGAGACUGGGUAAUUUAUAAAGAGGUUUAAUUGGCUGACCAUUCUACAGGCUGUACAAGUAUGGUGCCAACAUCUGCUCUGCUCUGCUUCUGGGGAGGCCUCAGAGAGCUUUUACUCACAGUGGAAAGCAAAGCAGGAUCAGGCACAUCAUAUGGUGAGAGCAGGAGUAAGAGAGCAAGGGGGGAGGUGCCACACACUUGCAAGUGACCAGAUCUCACAUAAACUCAAAGACAGAACUCACUCACUGUCAUUAAGACAGCACUAAGCCAUUCGUAAGGGAUCCAGCCCCAUGACCGAAUCACCUCCUAACAGGCUCCAUCUCUAACAUUAGAGAUUACAUUUAAACAUGAGUUUUGGAGGGGACAAACAUCCAAAAUAAAUCAGCAUUGAAUUACUGCCACCACAUAUAUGGAAUUUUGGUUUUGUGUCACAAAAGCCACAGUCUGGUUUGUGUCUAGGGCUUGAAUUUAUCAAGGCUAGUUUUUCUGUGUAUAAUUUUUCUCAUUGGCUACGGAUGACAUUCAGAAAGACAAAAGGUAAUGUCAAUCUAAUACCAUCACUUUCUCACAGAAAGUUUUUAGUCUAAUUACUUAAAUGGGAAUUCAAUUUUGAUGGUAGUCCAAAGUAAAUUUGGCUCUAGUUAUUCUGUUAAGAUAUAGUUUGAUAUAGUGGGUUGAGCAUUUAGGAACCAGAACCCAGUUGCAAGAUAUAAAUCCUAACUGUGACUCUUCCUAUAUCUUUUAGAAAGUUACUCAACUUUCCUUUGUCUCAAUGUGCUUAUAUAUAAAAUUAUAAUAAUAAGCAGCUGUCUCUUAAGGUUGCUGGGAGCACAAAAUGAGUUACCUCUGUGAAGUGCUCAAGAUCAGAGGCUAAUAUAUGGUAGGUGAUGUUCACCAUUUUUAUUCUCCCGCACAUGAAAAUACUUUAUUGCAACAUGUCUUAAAAUGUAGUUAUUCAAAAGUGUAGACUCCUGCAUAUUCUUUCAAAGUUUCAAUUUUGUUGAAGAUUUAAAAAAAAUUGACAUAUUCUACAUGACUCAAAUAGAAGUCAGUUGGUGAUUUAUCACUAAUUUAAUUAUGAUUCAUUUGUCAUCAGUAAUGAGCUACAGUGCCAAACAUGGUUUCCACUUUCAAAAAUAAAAUUCUUAUUUUUUUCUGUAGAAUAUUUCCAUUUAAAAUUCUUUAGUUUCUCUCUAAAUUUCAUGCAACAAAAUUCUUUUAAAUUCACAGAAAUUUCUUUACUAUUAAAAAGAUCCUGGUGAUAGAUUCAUAUUCAGAUAAUGAGAGUUUAGAGUUUAAAUUAUUACUAUGAGAGUUAAAACUAUAGUCAUAGGAAAAUGAAUACAUUUAUUAUUUAACCCUCCACCUAGUAUAAUUUUAAUUCUUAACCAGAUUACCCUAUCUUUUCAAAUUAUUACUAUUUCACAUUUAAAAAAUGUAGUACCUUUUAGAAUAAUCUUCUAUUAUAUUUUGGUGAUGUUGUCCAAAGAUAGAUUUGCUCAAGGUAGGCAAAAGAACUUAUCCUUCCUUGGGAACCAUCCUGAUAUUUGCAGACAAUUGUCACACUUUAAUUCUGUCCUUGUCAUUACUCAAUAAAGUAUACUUGUUUUAAUUCCA